UACCCUGAAUGGUGGAUCACUUCGCUCGUGGGUCAAUGAAGAACGCAGCUAAUUGCGCGUCAACUUGUAAAUUGCAGGACACAUGAACAUCGACAUUUCAAACGCAUAUUACGGUCCAUGGAUACAAUUCCCGGACCAUGCCUGGCUGGGUUUGU
Molecule: ribosomal RNA, 155 nt
Organism: Acromyrmex echinatior (Panamanian leafcutter ant)
Lineage: Eukaryota; Metazoa; Arthropoda; Insecta; Hymenoptera; Formicidae
Rfam family: 5.8S ribosomal RNA
About the family: 5.8S ribosomal RNA (5.8S rRNA) is a component of the large subunit of the eukaryotic ribosome. It is transcribed by RNA polymerase I as part of the 45S precursor that also contains 18S and 28S rRNA.
Source: Rfam